AUUUUUAAAAAACCAAUGUCUGUGCCCUCCCUCGAACCAAUUAAAUCAGAAGUUCUGGGAAUAGAUCCCAGGUAUAGGUGAUAUAAAAAUCUUCCCAGGUGAUUAUAAUACCUACUUUUGAGAGCAACUAUCCUUGAAGUAGAAGCAAUAGCUUAGCCAAUUGAAAUUGGGGUUGAUGGAAAUUCCAAGUGGAAGCAUCAAUGCCCACAAAGACAAGACCAUGAGAUGGAGCAGAGCACGUAGGAGAACGACCCAAAAACUUCUCUCCAAGGCAUGGCCUUCCUUGUUCCCUUUGUCCAAGUUUGAUGAGCUCACUCUACACACGUAACUCCCAGAAUCAAGGAGUGGAAAGUGCCAGGGCAGAUUUCUGCAUGAACUUACCUGUCAGGUGGACAAAGAAUUCUCUGUGCAUCCUUUAAGGCCCAGACGUAGCACUACCUCUUCAUGAUCCAUGUUGAUAAACAGAACUCCCAUGCCAAGAAUAGUGCAUUGGGUGAGAGGAUUUCAUGGAGGCAUCUUUUUGGAUUCCACAACGAGGGCCAAGCAGCAUAAAGUCAAGAGGUUGCAUGCCAGUUUCUUAAAUGGUCACUGGGAAACUGUAAGAUCCUGUUUAUUCACUAAAUAUAGUUCUUAAGAACAUUAAUCUAAGCCUGAAAGAUGAAUACAUCUGGGUCCACUGCUCCCUUGCGGUGCUAUUUAGUUACUCUGUCACUUAAAAAUGGCUCAGGCAAUGAAGUUCAAAGACUCCUUCUCUUUCCACUCCCACCCCUUUAUACAUCAUAUAAUCUAGCAAUGUCAUGAUUUUUUGACUGACUUGUGGCUCAUUUGUGUUGAAUAACCAGGUACCGAUUAUCUAGUUUCCUGUCUCCACAGGAAAUCACACCUUCUGGAAAAAUCAAUUUGUUCAAUAUCUUUUAGUCAUUUAUAAUCAGAUUAAGAAAUAAAAUAGAUUUUUGGUAAAGACUCAAUAAUUCUUAUUUUAUUAAUCUGAAACCCAGGUAUUCCCAUAAAACUGCUAAGCAAUGAUAUCCAUUUCCUAGGAAAGAAUUAACCAAUUUUCUGAAAUGUUCUACAAGAUCAGUAGCAUAAUACUACCAACAUUAUCUUAACUAAUUGAAGCUAGAUUGCACCUGUCAAAAUAAAUUAAUAAAAUAUAUUUGAGAAUGCAGUUUCUAUGAUUUCUAAUGUACAUAUUCAUUGAAUUUCUAAUUUACAUGUUUUGAUAACCCACUAUGGACCUCUCAGGGUCUCACUUCUAGUUGUCAAAGUUCCUGUGGAGAUCAUUAAACACAAGUUUGCUUUCUAUUUUGAACUUAAUAAAACCUGUUAGUCCUCUUUGUUCAAAGGAGGCUUUCAUUCAAUUCCAUUACUUCUUGUUUUUUCUAUUUAGUGUUGCAAAAUAAUUGUAAUAUGCUUAGGUGUGAUUAUACCUCAUUAGGACAAGUUCUUUUUUAUCAUUUAUAUAGUUAGGUAGGUAUCUCAACAAAAUGAAGCAGGCAUGUGAUAACCCCCAUAAAGAAGAAGAAAUCCCAUAACAGGUACAUAUUGCAUUUCUUAAGAAUUACAUUUUCUUCUACUGAGUGUAAGCUCCAUGAGGAUAGCAGCUGUUUUUAGCUUGUUCAUGACUGUAUACCAUUGCCUUGUCCAGUGCUGGAUAUAAUAAGUGCUCAGAAAAAUUAUCAAAUAAAUGACGUUGUUAACCUUG
This 1705-nucleotide long non-coding RNA is filed under the name Equus asinus (donkey). RNAcentral's name for it is "lncRNA (ENSEASG00005024760.1)". The record is from RNAcentral. Lineage: Eukaryota; Metazoa; Chordata; Mammalia; Perissodactyla; Equidae.